AUACGUAGGGGGCAAGCGUUAAUCGGAAUUACUGGGCGUAAAGCGCGCGCAGGCGGUUUGGUAAGCCCGUGGUGAAAUCCCCGGGCUUCACCUGGGAACUGCCAUUGUGACUGCAAGGCUGGAGUGCGGCAGCGGGGGGUGGAAUUCCGGGUGUAGCAGUGAAAUGCGUAGAUAUGCGGAGGAACACCGAUGGCGAAGGCAAUCCCCUGGGCCUGCACUGACGCUCAUGCACGAAAGCGUGGGGAGCAAACAGGAUUAGAUACCCUGGUAGUCCACGCCCUAAACGAUGUCAACUGGUUGUUGGGGAUUUAUUUUCUCAGUAACGAAGCUAACGCGUGAAGUUGACCGCCUGGGGAGUACGGCCGCAAGGUUAAAACUUAAAGGAAUUGACGGGG
This 395-nucleotide ribosomal RNA is filed under the name uncultured bacterium. RNAcentral's name for it is "partial 16S ribosomal RNA". It matches the Rfam family "Bacterial small subunit ribosomal RNA", at positions 523 to 918 of the family's 1533-position model. The record is from RNAcentral.